Non-coding RNA from Pneumocystis murina, 72 nucleotides. The record is from Rfam. Lineage: Eukaryota; Fungi; Ascomycota; Pneumocystomycetes; Pneumocystales; Pneumocystaceae.
GAGGAUAUAGCUUAAAGAGAAAGCCUUUGCCUUUUAAGCAAAUGAAUAAGAGUUUGAUUCUCUUUAUUCUCA